Molecule: ribosomal RNA, 119 nt
Filed under: Microcebus murinus (gray mouse lemur)
Lineage: Eukaryota; Metazoa; Chordata; Mammalia; Primates; Cheirogaleidae
Source: RNAcentral
GUCUAUAGCCAUGCUACCCUGAAUGUACCCAAUUUCAACUGAUCUUGGAAGCCAGGCAGGGUCAGGCCUAGUUAAUACUUGGAUGGGAGACUGUCUGAGACUACUGAGUACUGUAUGGA